RNAcentral lists this ribosomal RNA (468 nucleotides) under uncultured bacterium. RNAcentral describes it as "partial 16S ribosomal RNA". It matches the Rfam family "Bacterial small subunit ribosomal RNA", at positions 28 to 507 of the family's 1533-position model. The record is from RNAcentral.
GACGAACGCUGGCGGCGUGCUUAACACAUGCAAGUCGAACGGAAAGGCCCUGCUUUUGUGGGGUGCUCGAGUGGCGAACGGGUGAGUAACACGUGAGUAACCUGCCCUUGACUUUGGGAUAACUUCAGGAAACUGGGGCUAAUACCGGAUAGGAGCUCCUGCUGCAUGGUGGGGGUUGGAAAGUUUCGGCGGUUGGGGAUGGACUCGCGGCUUAUCAGCUUGUUGGUGGGGUAGUGGCUUACCAAGGCUUUGACGGGUAGCCGGCCUGAGAGGGUGACCGGCCACAUUGGGACUGAGAGACGGCCCAGACGGGAACGGGAGGCAGCAGGGGGGAAUAUUGCACAAUGGGCGGGAGCCUGAUGCAGCAACGCCGCGUGCGGGAAGACGGCCUUCGGGUUGUAAACCGAUUUCGCCUGUGACGAAGCGUGAGUGACGGUAAUGGGUAAAGAAGCACCGGCUAACUACGUG